Molecule: long non-coding RNA, 1571 nt
Filed under: Anas platyrhynchos platyrhynchos (common mallard)
Lineage: Eukaryota; Metazoa; Chordata; Aves; Anseriformes; Anatidae
Description: lncRNA (ENSAPLG00000023574.1)
Source: RNAcentral
UGUGGCGGUGUGCCAGGUCUUGGCCCCACUAAGAAAAACCCCUUUUGCCCCAAGGUGCAAGUGCUGGUGAGACCAUCACUGAUAUCCAGAGCUCCACAGGUGAGGACAAGCUUGAGGGUGUUACGGCUGCAUGGGCAUGUCCUGCUCCCUGCCUCUCCCCAUCACACCCCGCUGCCCUCACACCCUCUCUCCCCCAGCUCCCCAUGCCCGGAUCCCGCACACACUCCCCACAGGCACGGUGCUGGCAGUGGCAGCCGUCGGCCUUGUCCUCCUGUCUGCAGGCAGCUGGUUUGCCAUCAGGAAAUGUGAGGGAGUGGGGGAAGAAGGAGGGAAGGCUAAGGCCGUGGGGGUCCUGCUGCGGGACUGGUGCGCUAGGAAAGGCGGUGGGGGGAAACCUGGGUGUUUGCGGCUGGGCCAGACGGUGCCUGGGGGCGAUGGCUGUGGGCAGCUCAGCUGGGGAGGCUCCCGAGGGAGCUGGGGAGCUUCAGCCUUCAUCCCCCAGCCCCGAGAUGGGAGCCAGGGCUGGGCAGCACCUUGGCCUGUGCACCUCAGCCCCUGUUCUUCUUGCAGGUGCCUGCAGAGGGAGAUGCCCAAGGCAUCAGCACAUUGACAGACCACAGAUGGAAGACACCAGCAACGGCGAAGUCCAGUGUGAGUACUACCUCCUCCCUUGGGGGAAGCCACAUGCCCCUCUGACCAUGGUCACCCCUGCUUAUGCAUUCCCCAUGCAAUCCCACCACUUCAUCUCCCACUGGGACAUACAAAAUCCCUGCCCGUUCAUCAAGACCAGGUUUCUCUCCAGCACCUCAUGUCCUGCUUCUUCCUUGCAUGCAGAGUGCGUGCGGCUGCACAAGGGACAUGGCAGCAUCCCAGUGCUCCCAGGGACAAAGCCCAUUUGCUUGGGGGAUCCUUCCACACCAGCUCCGGCCUCAGGCAGCAUUUCCCCUGCUUCAGCCUCUGCUUUUGUCCUUUCUUCAGUUUCCUGUCAGAGGAAUUUCUGCUCAGAGAAGCAAAAAGCACCGCGCAGCAAUGAAAGAUGUGGCUCCUUGCCCUGGUGGGGAAAGCAUUUUAUAGUUUGCUCUGAAACCACAAGCAGCACCAAAGAGAGGAUGUUGUGGUUGGGUGACAGGCUAUAGAUAUAUCCCCACCCUACUUGCACCUCGCUCAUGUUGCAGCACAACCUUGUUUUCCCACGCCUGCACAGAGCAGCUCGCAAGGUGUGCUGGCUGUGCAAAGAGAGGAGAUUCCACAGAAAGCUGGAAAUACACCAAAACCUCAGCAUCUCUGCUCCAUCGCUGCUGCUUAAUUUUCAUCCCAGAUCAGGGUGAUGGGAGAGGAAAUGUGGCCAGGCAUUGAGAGCUGACCUCAGGCAGCUGCUGACCAAGGUCAGUGUGAGUUUCAGCCCUCCACCAACAGGCAGCAAGGGAUCAUGGUGUGUUUUUUUUGCCCUCACAGACUCCACCAUCACCCACGUUCGAUGGGACAGGGUGAGUCAUGGCACAGCUGUGCACAGCUCCUUUCUGCACUCCUGCAGCCUGGUGCACGCACAUUGUGCAGGGCUCACAGUCAGC